This 448-nucleotide ribosomal RNA is filed under the name uncultured bacterium. Its description in RNAcentral is "bacterial SSU rRNA". It matches the Rfam family "Bacterial small subunit ribosomal RNA", at positions 32 to 509 of the family's 1533-position model. The record is from RNAcentral.
AAUCAACGCUGGCGGCGUGCCUAACACAUGCAAGUCGAACGAGAAAGUGGAGCAAUCCACAAGUAAAGUGGCGCACGGGUGAGUAACACGUGACUAACCUACCCUUGAGUGGGGGAUAACCUAGGGAAACCUGGGCUAAUACCGCAUAAUACCUAUGGGUCAAAGGAGCAAUUCGCUUUUGGAGGGGGUCGCGGCAGAUUAGUUAGUUGGCAGGGUAAUGGCCUACCAAGGCGAUGAUCUGUAUCCGGCCUGAGAGGGCGCACGGACACACUGGAACUGAAACACGGUCCAGACUCCUACGGGAGGCAGCAGUGGGGAAUUUUGCGCAAUGGGGGAAACCCUGACGCAGCAACGCCGCGUGGAGGAUGAAGACCCUUGGGUCGUAAACUCCUUUCGAUCGGGACGAUAAUGACGGUACCGGAAGAAGAAGCCCCGCUAACUUCGUGCC